UACAGAGACUGCAAGCGUUAUUCGGAUUCACUGGGCGUAAAGGGUGCGCAGGCGGCCGGGUGUGUCAGAUGUGAAAUCCCGAGGCUUAACCUCGGAACUGCGUCUGAAACUACUCGGCUAGAGUACUGGAGAGGGAAACGGAAUUCACGGUGUAGCAGUGAAAUGCGUAGAUAUCGUGAGGAACACCAGAGGCGAAGGCGGUUUCCUGGACAGUUACUGACGCUCAGGCACGAAAGCGUGGGGAGCAAACAGG
Molecule: ribosomal RNA, 253 nt
Filed under: uncultured bacterium
Lineage: Bacteria
Description: partial 16S ribosomal RNA
Rfam family: Bacterial small subunit ribosomal RNA
Source: RNAcentral